This 1063-nucleotide long non-coding RNA is filed under the name Ananas comosus (pineapple). Its description in RNAcentral is "long non-coding RNA (ACOM_LNC039647)". Lineage: Eukaryota; Viridiplantae; Streptophyta; Magnoliopsida; Poales; Bromeliaceae. The record is from RNAcentral.
UAUCGAAAGUUUAGAGAAUAUGGUGCUUUCAAUUUUUUGAUUUUUAGAUCAACCCCUUUAAUCAUUUUUUUUGAAUUAAUACUUUUAUUAUCUUGUAGGGACCACUCAAUCCUAGGAAUAUUAUUUAAUCCUAGGAGGGACCGCAAUCAUCCCAACCAUAUAAUUCUUUAAUCAAAUGGUCAAAAAUUCGAAAACAUCAAAUCCUCUAUAUUUUCGAUAGCAUGAUAGUUCUACACUAUAUAUAUAUAUAUUUAAAAAUAUAUAAAUAUAAUAUAUUUUAAUUAUAUAUAGGCUGAGUGAAUAAUCUAAGUUUAGUUAAAAUUGGGCCAAUGUUGUUGGCCCAUAAAAACAAACCCAAUAGACAAAUAAAAAAGCAAAAUUUCACUAAAUUUAUAUAUUUUUCCUUUCUUUCUUUCUUUCACAUAACUCUAAAUUUUCAAUAUAUUUCUCUCUUUCUCUUUUUCUGUCUCUCACCCUAAGCAGCCAAGCCGGAAGCUCUCCAAGUUACCAAGUAACAGUAUAUGCCUGCCGUUAUCUACCUUGCUAUUAAUUGUAUGCUUGAGAAAAUAUACAGAAUAUUUUUAAAGUAAAAAAUUAUUAUUCAUAUAAAAUUUUAAUUUUUGUUAUAUAUGAUUGGAUAGUUUAAUCCAAUAUUUAUCUAUAUAAUUUAUUUAUUUUUGACUGUAUAAAUGAAAAUGAAUAAUAUGAAGAUUGAAGGCAGAAGAAAAGACAUGUGAGGCUGAAAAGAUUAGAUAUUCAACUCAAAAAUUAUUUUUUUUCAUAUUAUAAAACUGUAUUUUAUAUAAUUAUUUUGUACUUUGAACUAUUAGAUAUAUUUUUGUAUCAAAUUAUAGAUAAUGUUCUAUACAAAUUAAACUAUUGAUCGUAUGAUGUUGAGAAUUUCAAGCGGCUCGUUUAGGGCUCGAGCUCGCUCGACUCGAAAUUAGGCUCGCUCGAGCUCGGCUCGAAUUAAUUUCAAUCCAAGCUUGAGCUUAAAUUUAAGCUCGAAAUUAAUUUCAAGCCGAAUUUGAGCCGAGCUAAGCUCGCUCGAGCUCGGCUCGUU